ACAGCAGUCGCCACGGGAAUACAGAGGGUGCAAGCGUUAAUCGGAAUUACUGGGCGUAAAGCGCGCGUAGGUGGUUUGUUAAGUUGGAUGUGAAAUCCCCGGGCUCAACCUGGGAACUGCAUCCAAAACUGGCAAGCUAGAGUAUGGUAGAGGGUGGUGGAAUUUCCUGUGUAGCGGUGAAAUGCGUAGAUAUAGGAAGGAACACCAGUGGCGAAGGCGACCACCUGGACUGAUACUGACACUGAGGUGCGAAAGCGUGGGGAGCAAACAGGAUUAGAUACCCGCGUAGUCCCUGUCUCUUAUAC
Molecule: ribosomal RNA, 305 nt
Filed under: uncultured bacterium
Lineage: Bacteria
Description: partial 16S ribosomal RNA
Rfam family: Bacterial small subunit ribosomal RNA
Source: RNAcentral